UACAGAGGUCCCAAGCGUUGUUCGGAUUCAUUGGGCGUAAAGGGUGCGUAGGCGGCGCGGUAAGUCGGGUGUGAAAUCUCGGAGCUUAACUCCGAAACUGCAUUCGAUACUGCCGUGCUUGAGGACUGGAGAGGAGACUGGAAUUUACGGUGUAGCGGUGAAAUGCGCAGAUAUCAGGAGGAACACCGGUGGCGAAGGCGGGUCUCUGGGCCACUACUGACGCUGAGGAGCGAAAGCGUGGGGAGCAAACAGG
This 253-nucleotide ribosomal RNA is filed under the name uncultured bacterium. RNAcentral describes it as "partial 16S ribosomal RNA". It matches the Rfam family "Bacterial small subunit ribosomal RNA", at positions 524 to 776 of the family's 1533-position model. The record is from RNAcentral.